Mustela erminea (ermine) is the source of this 492-nucleotide long non-coding RNA. RefSeq lists it as uncharacterized. NCBI's taxonomy places the organism in Eukaryota, Metazoa, Chordata, Mammalia, Carnivora, Mustelidae. The transcript is spliced from 4 exons. The record is from RefSeq and is a predicted model, not a curated record.
ACCAGGGUUACACCUAGAAAAAUCAACUGACUUUUUGGUCUAGAUGCUGUCAAAUGGCCAGAUGAGACUUGAACUUUCAGCAUCAACAAUUACCUCUGGAAUUUGUCAGUACAGGUUCUUCAGAGACAGUGCUCCAAAGAACCCCUUUGGGCUGCGGCUAUUACUAUUCCUGUUUGAUCAAUGAGGAACCUGGGACUUGGAGCGGCUCUGUGCCUAACAUGGGGCUUGAAUUCAACCCUGAGAUCAGGAGUUGCAUGCUCUACUGAGAGAGCCAGCGGGGGCUUCAAGAUUAGCAUUUGAACUGGUAGUGUGAGGAGAGCCGAUUGCCCUUCCUAAGGACACAGAGCUGAGAAAUCCACGUGUGACUGACUGACCGACUGAACGACAGGACAUGGAAAUGGGAGGGCACCUCUACACGGGUGACUUCAGUUCCAGAGACGCAGUGUGAGAGCUUGCCCAGUGACACUUCUCCAGUUGUGUCUGCUUGCAGAA